AACGAACGCUGGCGGCAUGCCUAACACAUGCAAGUCGAACGAGACCUUCGGGCCUAGUGGCGCACGGGUGCGUAACGCGUGGGAAUCUGCCCUCUGGUACGGAAUAACUCAGGGAAACUUGAGCUAAUACCGUAUAAUGACUUCGGUCCAAAGAUUUAUCGCCUGAGGAUGAGCCCGCGUAGGAUUAGCUUGUUGGUGAGGUAAAAGCUCACCAAGGCGACGAUCCUUAGCUGGUCUGAGAGGAUGAUCAGCCACACUGGGACUGAGACACGGCCCAGACUCCUACGGGAGGCAGCAGUGGGGAAUAUUGGACAAUGGGCGAAAGCCUGAUCCAGCAAUGCCGCGUGAGUGAUGAAGGCCUUAGGGUUGUAAAGCUCUUUUACCC
Molecule: ribosomal RNA, 385 nt
Filed under: uncultured bacterium
Lineage: Bacteria
Description: bacterial SSU rRNA
Rfam family: Bacterial small subunit ribosomal RNA
Source: RNAcentral